CCUACGGGAGGCUGCAGUGGGGAAUAUUGGACAAUGGGGGGAACCCUGAUCCAGCCAUGCCGCGUGUGUGAAGAAGGCCCUCGGGUUGUAAAGCACUUUCAGUGAGGAAGAACGCCUGGUGGUUAAUACCCAUCAGGAAAGACAUCACUUACAGAAGAAGCACCGGCUAACUCCGUGCCAGCAGCCGCGGUAAUACGGAGGGUGCGAGCGUUAAUCGGAAUUACUGGGCGUAAAGCGCGCGUAGGUGGCUUGAUAAGCCGGUUGCGAAAGCCCCGGGCUCAACCUGGGAACGGCAUCCGGAACUGUCAAGCUAGAGUGCAGGAGAGGAAGGUAGAAUUCCCGGUGUAGCGGUGAAAUGCGUAGAGAUCGGGAGGAAUACCAGUGGCGAAGGCGGCCUUCUGGACUGACACUGACACUGAGGUGCGAAAGCGUGGGUAGCAAACAGGAUUAGAUACCCUGGUAGUC
RNAcentral lists this ribosomal RNA (465 nucleotides) under Vreelandella stevensii. RNAcentral describes it as "partial 16S ribosomal RNA". It matches the Rfam family "Bacterial small subunit ribosomal RNA", at positions 338 to 795 of the family's 1533-position model. Lineage: Bacteria; Pseudomonadati; Pseudomonadota; Gammaproteobacteria; Oceanospirillales; Halomonadaceae. The record is from RNAcentral.